RNAcentral lists this small nuclear RNA (323 nucleotides) under Pteropus vampyrus (large flying fox). Its description in RNAcentral is "7SK RNA (ENSPVAG00000025928.1)". It matches the Rfam family "7SK RNA", at positions 1 to 283 of the family's 331-position model. From Rfam's summary of the family: 7SK was discovered as an abundant small nuclear RNA in the mid-70s but a possible function has only recently been suggested. Two independent studies have found that 7SK RNA binds the CDK9/cyclin T complex (known as elongation factor P-TEFb). The record is from RNAcentral. Lineage: Eukaryota; Metazoa; Chordata; Mammalia; Chiroptera; Pteropodidae.
GGAUGCGAGGGCAAUCUGGCUGUGACAUCUGUGGCCCCACUGAUCACUAGGGUCGAUUUGGCUGAUCUGGCUGACUAGGCGGGUGUCCCCUGCCUUCCUCACGGCUCCACGUGCAUCCCUCCUGAAGCUGCAUGCUCAAAGAGGAUGACAUUCCUCCAACAAAGGAUGCGACUAUUCUUCGGUCAAGGGUAUAUCAAUAGCUGUGCUUCCCAGCUAAAACCUCCAGAUGGACUCUCGGGAUAGACCCAGUGAUUUCUACCUGUGUGACUCAGAGGCAGAGCAAGACCGUUUUCAUAUGUAAGACUGGCACAGCAACCAUAUCU